UAGCUUUUGUUAAGAACUUUUCCUUGGUUUCGUUCUUACUUUUGAAAAGGGAACCAAUUGCAACAUUUUCACAAUUUUCAAAUAAAACAAUGUUCCUUAUCAAGUUUACAAUGACUUUGACAAGUCCUUCAAAAAAUGUGUCUAUUUUUGCAUAAGCAUAGCAUGCAUCAUUUUGCAUUCAUAAUUUCAAGUCCGAGUCUUACUCUGUGUCUUUUCUACUAAAGGUCAAUCCAUCUCAAAGGUGUCCCAACUGUCCUCGUCCAAAGUUAACUCGCACCUACAACAUUCGUGCAAACAAAAAAGAGAACGUAUUAGUUUGAACAAGAAAUCCACGAGCAUUCGUGAAGAGGUAACAACACUAUUGACGUUCCUUCCGCUACUUUUUGUUCAAUUAAUGUUUGUUUGUUGCUUUUCGCUUUUCAAAAAAAUCCUUUCGUCCCGCCCGAGAUGAAAGUGAUCUUGUGUAGGGCUUUUUGCUUUAAGUAUUGGUCAUCAUUAAUAAAAAGGUCGUUUUGAUCCCGACUUUAUUUUAUUUUAUGCUCUUUUCUGAAAAAUGGUAAUACAAAAAACCCAAAAAAAAAUAAUAAUAAUCAUUCUCAUAUAUCUGCAUAAUCAUAGCUUGUACUUACUUGUCAAAAUCAAUAAUCAAAUCAUGCAUUAAUAAACCCGUUGAACAUAAUAACUAUGUACUCUCUCCCAACUUUGAGUUCUCUGUGACCGAAGAUAAGGAAGAGGAGAA
RNAcentral lists this long non-coding RNA (739 nucleotides) under Medicago truncatula (barrel medic). RNAcentral describes it as "long non-coding RNA (MTRU_LNC000076)". The record is from RNAcentral. Lineage: Eukaryota; Viridiplantae; Streptophyta; Magnoliopsida; Fabales; Fabaceae.